GUGGGUGUAUCUCAGUGGUAGAGUGCAUGCUUAGCAAGCAUGGGGUCCUGGGUUCGAUUCCCCAGUACCUCCA
This 73-nucleotide transfer RNA is filed under the name Camelus bactrianus (Bactrian camel). It matches the Rfam family "tRNA". From Rfam's summary of the family: Transfer RNA (tRNA) molecules are approximately 80 nucleotides in length. Their secondary structure includes four short double-helical elements and three loops (D, anti-codon, and T loops). The record is from Rfam by way of RNAcentral. RNAcentral also lists the same sequence under 2 other names. Lineage: Eukaryota; Metazoa; Chordata; Mammalia; Artiodactyla; Camelidae.